CAGCGCCACGGUAAUACGGAGGGGGCUAGCGUUGUUCGGAAUUACUGGGCGUAAAGCGCACGUAGGCGGCUUGGUAAGUUAGAGGUGAAAGCCUGGAGCUCAACUCCAGAAUUGCCUUUAAGACUGCAUCGCUUGAAUCCGGGAGAGGUGAGUGGAAUUCCGAGUGUAGAGGUGAAAUUCGUAGAUAUUCGGAAGAACACCAGUGGCGAAGGCGGCUCACUGGACCGGCAUUGACGCUGAGGUGCGAAAGCGUGGGGAGCAAACAGGAUUAGAUACCCCUGUAGUCCCUGUCUCUUAUACA
RNAcentral lists this ribosomal RNA (301 nucleotides) under uncultured bacterium. Its description in RNAcentral is "partial 16S ribosomal RNA". It matches the Rfam family "Bacterial small subunit ribosomal RNA", at positions 509 to 808 of the family's 1533-position model. The record is from RNAcentral.